UACAGAGGGUGCGAGCGUUAAUCGGAAUUACUGGGCGUAAAGCGUGCGUAGACGGUCAAGUAAGUCGGGUGUGAAAGCCCCGGGCUCAACCUGGGAAUUGCAUUCGAGACUGCGUGGCUAGGGUGCGGAAGAGGGAAGCGGAAUUUCCGGUGUAGCGGUGAAAUGCGUAGAUAUCGGAAGGAACACCAGUGGCGAAAGCGGCUUCCUGGUCCAGCACCGACGUUCAGGCACGAAAGCGUGGGGAGCAAAAAGG
Molecule: ribosomal RNA, 253 nt
Filed under: uncultured bacterium
Lineage: Bacteria
Description: partial 16S ribosomal RNA
Rfam family: Bacterial small subunit ribosomal RNA
Source: RNAcentral